Molecule: ribosomal RNA, 253 nt
Filed under: uncultured bacterium
Lineage: Bacteria
Description: partial 16S ribosomal RNA
Rfam family: Bacterial small subunit ribosomal RNA
Source: RNAcentral
UACGAAGGGGGCUAGCGUUGUUCGGAAUUACUGGGCGUAAAGCGCGCGUAGGCGGCUUUGUAAGUUAGAGGUGAAAGCCCGGGGCUCAACCCCGGAAUUGCCUUUAAGACUGCAUCGCUAGAAUCCGGGAGAGGUGAGUGGAAUUCCGAGUGUAGAGGUGAAAUUCGUAGAUAUUCGGAAGAACACCAGUGGCGAAGGCGGCUCACUGGACCGGUAUUGACGCUGAGGUGCGAAAGCGUGGGGAGCAAACAGG